GCCGCUGCCGUCGUCUGCAGAGAUGCUGCUCUACGUCUGCUUUCUCCUGUGUGUCCACAUCUGUCACAGCGCUGCAGGAAUCCCCACAGUCAGCACACAGCAGCACACGGACGCUGUGCUCACCUGUCCUCAUGCUCAGGGAGAUGUAACCUGGAGCCGAGCUAUAGGAGGCACCCGGGUGACUCUUCUCACCGUCAGUAACGGUCAUGUGAGCAGCAGUUCGGAGCGCUUUGGUUCCCGUAAGAACAACGAGCUGCUUAUCAGGAAUGUUGUAGAGUCUGAUACUUCGAUGUAUCUGUGCAAUGAGAGGAAGACAGCCUAUCUGAAUGUGACCACAGACCCCAGCAUGGUGGAUCAAACAGUCACAGGGAGAAAGGACGACCCUGACCAGAAGGUGCCGGCUGCAGGUGCAGACACAGCUCCUCCCUCAGACUUGUGGAAAGUUCCUGUUGGCGUGCUGGCAGGAGCUGCACUGGUGCUGUUGUCCAUGUUGACUCUGAGACUGUGGAGGGCCGAGAAAGCAGCGAGGGACACGAGGGCGGUGCUGAGCGAGGUGGUUUAUGAGGAGAUCGGACACGCUGACGUGGAGCCCGGUCCAACCCCCGAGUCCAAGGUGGAAAACCCGUACUGCUGGUCCGAGGUCAGCGACCAGUCAAACACCUCCACAGCACCUGCUGCUCCUCUGUACAGCAACCUGUGCAGGCCCCAACCUGAAGGACACGACUCCGACACCUGCGUGUAUUACCUUACCCAGAAUCCUCUGCAGAUAGGAAGCAGCUGCCAGAGCUCCUCCUGACUUCUUUAAACCAGUUAUCAUGGGUGAGGGGCGGGUCUGACUGAGACUCCUCCCCUGCGUCCUGCUCCUCUCCGGCUAUCGAAGGACCAUCACCUCCAAAAAUGAACUUUCAUUCAGUCAGACAUGAAGGCAGUGACUGAGACCAUGAACCAAUCAGGAAGCAGUUUACUGAGAUCAGCUCUUUCCUCAGCGACUUCUAUUCAAUCAGAACACAGGAGCCCCUCCCACACGCCCUGGAGAGGCCACUUCCAUCUUUUAUAUACAGUCUAAUUAUUUUUACUUUGCUGAAUCAAUUUAUGUACGAAACGUCUUAAAAGAUGAUGAACAGGCUGGAACAGCAGGUGCAGAUCUUUAAUAUUGUGUGUGAAUUUAUAAAAGUGAUUUUUAAAUAAUUGAUGUCAGUUUAUUUCAGAAUCACUGCUCCUCGGAAAGCAAAUAAACAUAUUCCAGUGUUUGCAAACAUGUUCAUGCAGCUGAUAAUAAACUAAAUCAGCAAGAAAUAUUCAUGCUUUAGCUCACAAGUUUUUUC
Long non-coding RNA from Oreochromis aureus, 1325 nucleotides. The record is from Ensembl. Lineage: Eukaryota; Metazoa; Chordata; Actinopteri; Cichliformes; Cichlidae.